RNAcentral lists this non-coding RNA (817 nucleotides) under Pan troglodytes (chimpanzee). The record is from RNAcentral. Lineage: Eukaryota; Metazoa; Chordata; Mammalia; Primates; Hominidae.
CAGCCUGAGGCCGCGGCCGGGUGCCCUCCUGCCCUCCUGGCCAUCCAGGGAUUGGGUGUCAGUGGCCUGUUGCACACUGUCACUUCUACAAGUGACUAACACCGUCAGGAUAAUCUAAAACUACGAAUACUACCUGACUCCACAAGGGUACGGUGUAUUCUCCAGUUUUAGCAUCUGCCUUAAAAAUUACCUCAGAGUUAAGCACUGCUGGGGACUUAUUUCUACUCUUGGCAGGAGGAGAAAAGGAAAUGACAUCAGAGGUGCUUUGCUAAAGAUCACAGGAACUGCAGCUGUGGCCUUCCUAUUUAGCAGAUUCCCAUCAGAGUACAGUAAAACAAAAAUUAAAUAGAAUUCAUAUAUUUGAAAUCCUUGGCAUCAAUUCACUCCAGGAAUCCAAGACAGUACUCAACUGAAGGGGAAGCAAGCACAAGGGAGAUUUCUGGGACACUGAUACUGUUCCGUUUCUUCAUCUGAAUGCUGCUUAUGGGCCUUGUUCAAUUUGUGAAAAUUCAUGACUUUGUACAUUUAUGUUAAUUUCCCAGACACCCUACAGUUAGGGGUGACUUAUGACUGAAUUGACAGCCAAUGCAACAGAAGACUUGGUCCAUGAAAACCUCCCAUGCAAUAUCCCUUCCAUGCUCUUUUCUACCUGCUGGAUUGAUCGAGCUGAGCAUGCAACCUUGAAAAAAAAAGCCUUGAGGAGGGUAGAGUCACAAGAUGGAAGGAGCAUACAUCAUUACUUGCAGAGGGCCACUGGCCAACUGGGAACCUUUUUGGGACUGUAUGGGACCAAGAAAUAAAUUUAUUUCCUAUUUGA